GAUUUUUUAUACUUUAAUUUUUUAUUAAUCAUUAUUUAUUUAAUUAUAUAUUUUUAGAUAUAAUGUUAUAAUUAGUAUAUUUUGUUAAUUAUUUUUUAGGAAUUCGGCAAUUAUUUUUUUUACCUGUUUAUUAAAAACAUGUCUUGAAGGGUUAAUUAUUUUAAGUCAGGCCUGCCCAAUGAAAUUAAUUUAAUGGCUGCAGUAUAUUAACUGUACGAAGGUAGCAUAAUCAUUUGUUUAUUAAUUGUAGACUAGUAUGAAUGGUUUUAUAAAAAGAAAUCUUUCUUUUUUAUAUAAAAUUGAAUUUAAUUUUUUGGUUAAAAAGCCAAAUUUUAUUUAUGGGACGAGAAGACCCUAUAGAACUUUAAUAUAAUUUAUGAAAAUUUUUUUUAUAUUAUAUUAUGCUGGGGUGGUAUAUAUAUAUAUUUAACUAUAUAUUUUUUAUUUCAUUUAUUUUUGUUUUUAUUGAUCCAAUAUUUUGUUGAUUAUAAGAUUAAGUUACCUUAGGGAUAACAGCGUAAUUUAUUUGGAGAGUUCAUAUCGAUAAAUUAAGUUUGCGACCUCGAUGUUGAAUUAAGAUUAGAAUUAGGGGUAAAUUAUUAAAUUUUUUGGUCUGUUCGACCAUUAUAUUCUUACAUGAUUUGAGUUUAGAUCGGCGUGAGCCAGAUCGGUUUCUAUCUUUAAUAAUUUUUAUAUAUUCUAGUACGAAAGGACCGAGUAUAUUUAAUAAUUA
This 733-nucleotide ribosomal RNA is filed under the name Schizopterinae sp. UCR ENT 00125481. RNAcentral describes it as "partial large subunit ribosomal RNA". The stretch from base 312 to 733 matches the Rfam family "Bacterial large subunit ribosomal RNA", at positions 2048 to 2711 of the family's 2925-position model. Lineage: Eukaryota; Metazoa; Arthropoda; Insecta; Hemiptera; Schizopteridae. The record is from RNAcentral.